Molecule: unclassified non-coding RNA, 334 nt
Filed under: soil metagenome
Description: partial contains 5.8S ribosomal RNA, internal transcribed spacer 2, and large subunit ribosomal RNA
Rfam family: 5.8S ribosomal RNA (bases 1-120)
Source: RNAcentral
GAUGAAGAACGUAGCGAAAUGCGAUAAGUAAUGUGAAUUGCAGAAUUCAGUGAAUCAUCGAAUCUUUGAACGCACAUUGCGCCCGCCAGUAUUCUGGCGGGCAUGCCUGUUCGAGCGUCAUUUCAACCAUCAAGCCCCAGGCUUGUGUUGGGGACCUGCGGCUGCCGCAGGCCCUGAAAACCAGUGGCGGGCUCGCUAGUCACACCGAGCGUAGUAGCAUACACAUCGCUCAGGGCGUGCUGCGGGUUCCGGCCGUUAAACCCCUUUUUUACCCAAGGUUGACCUCGGAUCAGGUAGGAAGACCCGCUGAACUUAAGCAUAUCAUAAGCGAGGA